Molecule: ribosomal RNA, 173 nt
Filed under: Actinomycetota bacterium
Lineage: Bacteria; Bacillati; Actinomycetota
Description: partial 23S ribosomal RNA
Rfam family: Bacterial large subunit ribosomal RNA
Source: RNAcentral
UACGGAAGGGAUAAGCGCUGAAAGCAUAUAAGUGCGAAGCUCUUUCCAAGAUGAGGUUUCCCACUGGGUCAACCAGGUAAGGCCCGUGGUAGACGACCACGUUGAUAGGCCGGAAGUGUAAGUGCGGCAACGCAUUCAGCUGACCGGUACUAAUCGGCCGAGGACUUGAAUCU